UGCAGAUAUCCUCAGGAACCUAUACCCUC
Molecule: non-coding RNA, 29 nt
Filed under: Rattus norvegicus (Norway rat)
Lineage: Eukaryota; Metazoa; Chordata; Mammalia; Rodentia; Muridae
Source: RNAcentral